Molecule: long non-coding RNA, 436 nt
Organism: Octopus sinensis (East Asian common octopus)
Lineage: Eukaryota; Metazoa; Mollusca; Cephalopoda; Octopoda; Octopodidae
Exons: 3
Source: RefSeq, a predicted model, not a curated record
AGAGAGAGAAAGCUAUACACUGAAACAAAAGUGGAAAUAAGGGAUUUUUCUGUUCUGCCCGUCACUGAGCCAGUUUAUAUGACAACCACUUAAGAUGUCCGCAACAGCUAUUAUUGUAGGGCUAAACGUCUUUAGUUCAACAGAGAAUGAUCAGGUGAUGAGCAGCCGAAAUACUUCGGUGUCUAAUUCGGGAAGUAAGUUAUGGAAUUAUGACAGAGUUGGAAAAUUGCAUGAACGAAAAACCAAAACAGUAAACCCACACACCUGAAAGACUGAUCUUCCUAUCAAAUAUAUUAAUAUUGUACAAUUUAACUUCUUCAAAGAGUAUACCAUUUCUUUCUCUUCGUAAGCCUGAUCUCUAGAUAUACUUCUUUCACUUCUCUUUCUCUCUUCCUCACUAUCUAUUUCAUUCUUUAUAUAUAUAUAUAUAUAUAUA